Molecule: ribosomal RNA, 253 nt
Filed under: uncultured bacterium
Lineage: Bacteria
Description: partial 16S ribosomal RNA
Rfam family: Bacterial small subunit ribosomal RNA
Source: RNAcentral
UACGUAGGGUGCGAGCGUUAAUCGGAAUUACUGGGCGUAAAGUGUGCGCAGGCGGCUUGGCAAGUCGAGUGUGAAAUCCCCGGGCUUAACUUGGGAAUUGCGCUCGAAACUACCUGGCUUGAGUUCGGGAGAGGGAAGCGGAAUUCCGGGUGUAGCGGUGAAAUGCGUAGAUAUCAGGAGGAACACCGGUGGCGAAGGCGGUUCUCUGGGAAUGACCUGACGCUGAGGAGCGAAAGUGUGGGGAGCGAACAGG